GACGAACGCUGGCGGUGUGCUUAACACAUGCAAGUCGAGCGGUAAGGCCCUUUCGGGGGUACACGAGCGGCGAACGGGUGAGUAACACGUGGGUGACCUGCCCUCAGCUCUGGGAUAAGCCUGGGAAACCGGGUCUAAUACUGGAUAUGACUCCAUGACGCAUGCUGUGGGGUGGAAAGCCUUGUGCGGCUGAGGAUGGGCCCGCGGCCUAUCAGCUUGUUGGUGGGGNGAUGGCCUACCAAGGCGACGACGGGUAGCCGGCCUGAGAGGGCGACCGGCCACACUGGGACUGAGACACGGCCCAGACUCCUACGGGAGGCAGCAGUGGGGAAUCUUGCGCAAUGGGCGAAAGCCUGACGCAGCGACGCCGCGUGAGGGAUGACGGCCUGG
Molecule: ribosomal RNA, 390 nt
Filed under: uncultured bacterium
Lineage: Bacteria
Description: bacterial SSU rRNA
Rfam family: Bacterial small subunit ribosomal RNA
Source: RNAcentral